UCCACUUUUCCCAGCUGUGUGGGGUACCGGGGCCUGCGCCUGCGGACAAGUUCUCCAGGGGAUGGGAGAAGAGAUAGGGAUGUCAGACGAAGAAACGAAUGGCGUGUCAGGUUUUGUAGGAAGAGAAAGAAGAGCGAAGUUCGCGGAUCCGGCUACGAUCGGUCGCGCCUCCUGUGACGUCCAGUGGCAGAGGCCAAAAGGAUUUCUGGGGCAGCCUCGAGAGAAAGAAUCCGGCGUGCGGGGCCCAUAGACAUUAUUCUAAAUAUGGCACUUGCAGUGUCUGACAUUCUCUUGUUUUUUUUUUUUUUCCUUUUUUAACGAUGCUUUAAAAAAAAAAAUCUUUUGUCUCCUAAGCGGGCUUUUAUAUAAUGUAAGCCCAGUGAGGCCCUAGACUUUAUUUAAUUAACUCCCAGUAACCCCGACCCCUGGGACAUGGAGGCACAUUGUUUUAGUGUCAAAGCAGCUACCUUGAAAGGAUCCUGGGCUUGAAACCAUACCUCAGUUCAAAUUUUAUUCUGCUGUACCAAGCCCUUGGGUGAGUUAGUCUUUCAGCCUCAGUACCCCUUCAGGAAAAUGCUGUGCUAACACCUUCUGUAAAGAAUGAUCAGUGGAGCAGAGAUUACAUAACACAAUUGGUGCAGAGUAAGUGCUUAAGAGCCAGUAGCUAGUUUUUAGAAAGUUUUUCAUCUUAGGAGACAGUCUAGAGAAGGAGAGAAAGGGCAGGCUUUGGAGUGGCCCAGAGAUGGAUUAUAACCCUUGGCUCCUGUACUUGUCUAGGACACAUACUCUCUCUCCCCCAGCUGUAGUUUCCUCACCUCUGAGAUGGAAAUUAAAAUGCUAGUGCUGUGAGGAUUGGAGCUAAGGUAUGUGAAAUGCCUCUCCUGUUGGCUCUACCUGGAGAUUUGUUGUAGUCUACUGAUUGUCAUCAAAGGAGAGAGGUGACAGGAUGGUGGUGUAAGAGGAAAAAAACCUUGAGUUUCAUAGUCUGAAAAUGUGGUUACAGGUUCUUGCUGUGUUCCUUCUCCCUGUGGUUUUCUGAACCAAUAACCUGAAGCCUCAAGCUCUUCAUCUGCAAAAAUGUUUUGUAUCAGGCACCUCUGAUGCGUAUAUCUCAGGAUAGAAGAAGUGUCCUCUGAGACAACAACAACAAAUUAAGAUUAAGAGGGGAAGAACUAGAAUGAGAUUCAUACACUGUCCCUCCCCCAUCCAAGAGAAGGAGAGGCUGUUUGGUAAUGCCUGCCUACUCCUUCCUGGGCAGAACCUUUGUAGAAUGGAACCUGGGAGAAUUUGCAGUCUGCUAAGGGCAUUUUAGUCAGUUUCUGACAUAGGUUGGUAGGGAGGCCCUUGAAUUUGCAUUUCUAACAAGUUCUGUAGUGAUGCUUCAAAUGUCUAAGCGGAAGGGUUACCCCACAGAGAUUUCUGCCACACUGCAUGCAAAGGAAGCCACAGAUAUCCCCAGCCCUGAAGCCUGAAACCAAAACACUGAAAAUGAAACACCAGAGUGGACAAGGAACAUCUCAGAAUUUCUGUGGGAACCAGUGACUCAAGGACCUGACAUCUCCUUCUUCUCAUCUUGGCACUUCAGAAAUCAUCCCAGCCUGGAUAUAGCCCUGGGGAAAGGGAGAGAUCCUCCCGCUGAUAAGAUUAUUGUCACUGCAGCUAAAUGGGGCCUUUAUGCAGAAAUCAGUUUCACUUACAGAAAAAAAUUUUAUUUAUUACACAUUUGAGUUUGUAGACUGAAUCUCAUUCUUACCACAGUAUUAUCUGUGAGCAUUAUAUAGUGGCCAUAAGGCACUAAACAUUUUAAGCUUAGUAUUGUGAGGAUUCUCACUUAGAGACUGUGAGGUUUUAUUCAUUAACAUUUUUAUUUGGUGGCUAUAGUUGACAAGGACAAAGCUAAGAGGAACCAACAAACAUUGCCCUGCCUGACAUUGUAAUCUUACUAGGUGGUAGGUUCCUCUAGAGCAGGGUCAAUACAUUUCCUUUGACUCCCUCCCCUAGUCACUAGCAUACAAAGUGCUUGUGCUUAGUAGGUGAUCAAUAAAUGUUUGUGGAAUGAAUACAUUAUGAAUAAAAUAUAUACUCAGGA
This is a long non-coding RNA of Lemur catta (Ring-tailed lemur), 2089 nucleotides long. RefSeq lists it as uncharacterized. The record is from RefSeq and is a predicted model, not a curated record. NCBI's taxonomy places the organism in Eukaryota, Metazoa, Chordata, Mammalia, Primates, Lemuridae. The transcript is spliced from 3 exons.